GACGAACGCUGGCGGCGUGCUUAACACAUGCAAGUCGAACGGAAAGGCCCUGCUUUUGUGGGGUGCUCGAGUGGCGAACGGGUGAGUAACACGUGAGUAACCUGCCCUUGACUUUGGGAUAACUUCAGGAAACUGGGGCUAAUACCGGAUAGGAGCUCCUGCUGCACGGUGGGGGUUGGAAAGUUUCGGCGGUUGGGGAUGGACUCGCGGCUUAUCAGCUUGUUGGUGGGGUAGUGGCUUACCAAGGCUUUGACGGGUAGCCGGCCUGAGAGGGUGACCGGCCACAUUGGGACUGAGAUACGGCCCAGACUCCUACGGGAGGCAGCAGUGGGGAAUAUUGCACAAUGGGCGGAAGCCUGAUGCAGCAACGCCGCGUGCGGGAUGACGGCCUUCGGGUUGUAAACCGCUUUCGCCUGUGACGAAGCGUGAGUGACGGUAAUGGGUAAAGAAGCACCGGCUAACUACGUGCCAGCAGCCGCGGUGAUACGUAGGGUGCGAGCGUUGUCCGGAUUUAUUGGGCGUAAAGGGCUCGUAGGUGGUUGAUCGCGUCGGAAGUGUAAUCUUGGGGCUUAACCCUGAGCGUGCUUUCGAUACGGGUUGACUUGAGGAAGGUAGGGGAGAAUGGAAUUCCUGGUGGAGCGGUGGAAUGCGCAGAUAUCAGGAGGAACACCAGUGGCGAAGGCGGUUCUCUGGGCCUUUCCUGACGCUGAGGAGCGAAAGCGUGGGGAGCGAACAGGCUUAGAUACCCUGGUAGUCCACGCUGUAAACGGUGGGUACUAGGUGUGGGGUCCAUUCCACGGGUUCCGUGCCGUAGCUAACGCUUUAAGUACCCCGCCUGGGGAGUACGGCCGCAAGGCUAAAACUCAAAGGAGUUGACGGGGCCCCGCACAAGCGGCGGAGCAUGCGGAUUAAUUCGAUGCAACGCGUAGAACCUUACCUGGGUUUGACAUGGAUCGGGAGUGCUCAGAGAUGGGUGUGCCUCUUUUGGGGUCGGUUCACAGGUGGUGCAUGGCUGUCGUCAGCUCGUGUCGUGAGAUGUUGGGUUAAGUCCCGCAACGAGCGCAACCCUUGUUCACUGUUGCCAGCACGUUAUGGUGGGGACUCAGUGGAGACCGCCGGGGUCAACUCGGAGGAAGGUGGGGAUGACGUCAAGUCAUCAUGCCCCUUAUGUCCAGGGCUUCACGCAUGCUACAAUGGCUGGUACAGAGAGUGGCGAGCCUGUGAGGGUGAGCGAAUCUCGGAAAGCCGGUCUCAGUUCGGAUUGGGGUCUGCAACUCGACCUCAUGAAGUCGGAGUCGCUAGUAAUCGCAGAUCAGCAACGCUGCGGUGAAUACGUUCCCGGGGCU
RNAcentral lists this ribosomal RNA (1346 nucleotides) under uncultured bacterium. RNAcentral's name for it is "partial 16S ribosomal RNA". It matches the Rfam family "Bacterial small subunit ribosomal RNA", at positions 28 to 1381 of the family's 1533-position model. The record is from RNAcentral.